GAGGCAGCCUGAGAGACGGCUACCAGUUCUAAGGAACGCAGCAGGCGCGCAAAUUACACAAUGACAGUAAACUGUUGAUGUAGUGACAAGAGGUAACGGGGCGGUCCUCUAUGAGGCCCGUCAUUGUAUUGAGUAAAACUCAAAAUAUUUAACGAAACCAAUUGGAGGGCAAGUCUGGUGCCAGCAGCCGCGGUAAUUCCAGCUCCAAAAGCAUAUAUUAAAGUUGUUGCGGUUAAAAAGCUCGUAGUUGGAUCCAUGACCCCGGAGGGCGGUCCCCCACUGGGUGCGUACUGCUGCUCCGAGUCCUAUCUGUCAGUUUGUCUGCGUUGCCUUUAAUCGGGUGGCACAGGUGACUGACGUGUUUACUUUGAAAAAAUUAGAGUGUUUAAAGCAGGCGUUGAAUGCCUGAAUAGUGGUGCAUGGAAUAAUGGAAUAGGAUCUCGGUUCUAUUUUGUUGGUUCAAGAGCAUGAGAAAAUGAUUAAGAGGGACAGACGGGGGCAUUUGUAUUGCUGCGUUAGAGGUGAAAUUCUUGGAUCGUAGCAAGACAAACUACUGCGAAGGCAUUUGCCAAGAAUGUUUUCAUUAAUCAAGAACGAAAGUUAGAGGUUCGAAGGCGAUCAGAUACCGCCCUAGUUCUAACCGUAAACCAUGUCGACUAGCUAUCUGUCAGCGUUAAUAAUGACCUGACAGGCAGCUUACCGGAAACGAAAGUUUCUCGAUUCCGGGGGUAGUAUGGUUGCAAAGCUGAAACUUAAAGGAAUUGACGGAAGGGCACCACCAGGAGUGGAGCCUGCGGCUUAAUUUGACCCAACACGGGAAAACUCACCCGGCCCGGACACCGUAAGGAUUGACAGAUUAAUAGCUCUUUCUCGAUUUGGUGAUUGGUGGUGCAUGGCCGUUCUUAGUUGGUGGAGCGAUUUGUCUGGUUAAUUCCGAUAACGAACGAGAUUCUAACUUACUAACUAGUUCCACGAUCCUUGUGGUCCUAAAUACUUCUUAGAGGGAAAACCGGCAUUUAGUCGAACGAGAUUGAGCAAUAACAGGUCUGUGAUGCCCUUAGAUGUCCGGGGCUGCACGCGUGCUACACUGAAGGAAUCAGCGUGUUUUUCCCUUGCCUGUAAUGGCUGGGUAACCGACUGAAUCUCCUUCGUGCUAGGGAUAGAUCAUUGAAACUAGUGAUCUUCAACUUGGAAUUCCUGGUACGUUUGAGUCAUAAGCUCAAGCAGAUUACGUCCCUGCCCUUUGUACACACCGCCCGUCGCUACUACCGACUGGCAAUAUCUUUGAGACACUUGGAGCGGCCGUGAGCUACCCUAACCGGUAACUCACGGCUGCGAAAAGGUUCGAAAAGGUUUUGCUGGAGGAAGUAAAAGUCGUAACAAGGUU
This 1387-nucleotide ribosomal RNA is filed under the name metagenome. RNAcentral describes it as "SSU rRNA". It matches the Rfam family "Eukaryotic small subunit ribosomal RNA", at positions 388 to 1801 of the family's 1831-position model. The record is from RNAcentral.